Non-coding RNA from Meleagris gallopavo (turkey), 176 nucleotides. Lineage: Eukaryota; Metazoa; Chordata; Aves; Galliformes; Phasianidae. The record is from RefSeq and is a predicted model, not a curated record.
CUGGUUCUGCUUUUCCUUUGUAGAUUCACAUGGUGCAGAUCUGACAGAAAAACAAGCUGCAGAACCAGGGGAACAAACUGAAGAAGAGGAGACACGGAAACCACUGCUGAGGAGUCAGUAUGAACAGACACAAAAACCAUUUGAAGAAUCAGACUGAGAGAUGAACUGCAUGGCGC